This 468-nucleotide ribosomal RNA is filed under the name uncultured bacterium. RNAcentral describes it as "partial 16S ribosomal RNA". It matches the Rfam family "Bacterial small subunit ribosomal RNA", at positions 28 to 507 of the family's 1533-position model. The record is from RNAcentral.
GACGAACGCUGGCGGCGUGCUUAACACAUGCAAGUCGAACGGAAAGGCCCUGCCUUUGUGGGGUGCUCGAGUGGCGAACGGGUGAGUAACACGUGAGUAACCUGCCCUUGACUUUGGGAUAACUUCAGGAAACUGGGGCUAAUACCGGAUAGGAGCUCCUGCUGCAUGGUGGGGGUUGGAAAGUUUCGGCGGUCGGGGAUGGAUUCGCGGCUUAUCAGCUUGUUGGUGGGGUAGUGGCUUACCAAGGCUUUGACGGGUAGCCGGCCUGAGAGGGUGACCGGCCACAUUGGGCCUGAGGUACGGCCCAGACUCCUACGGGAGGCAGCAGUGGGGAAUAUUGCACAGUGGGCGGAAGCCUGAUGCAGCAACGCCGCGUGCGGGAUGAAGGCCUUCGGGUUGUAAACCGCUUUAGCCUGUGACGAAGCGUGAGUGACGGUAAUGGGUAAAGAAGCACCGGCUAACUACGUG